Molecule: long non-coding RNA, 376 nt
Filed under: Chrysolophus pictus (golden pheasant)
Lineage: Eukaryota; Metazoa; Chordata; Aves; Galliformes; Phasianidae
Description: lncRNA (ENSCPIG00010006854.1)
Source: RNAcentral
ACUUUGGUUCCAUUUCCGACCACUUUGGGUCCAUUUCUGACCAUUUUGGCUCCAUUUCUGUCCACUUUGGUUCCAUUCCCGACCACAUCUCAGCCCCACAUCUCAGCCCCACAACCUCCGCUAUGGGGCAGCCCCACAUCUCUGCCCCUCAGCCCCACAUUUCUGCCCCAUAGAUCUCCCAGCCCCACAUCUCAACCCCGCAACCUCCGCUGUUGGGCAGCCCCAUAUCUCAGCCCCACAUCUCCGCCCCAUAGAUCCCCCAGCCCCAUAUCUCCGCCCCAUAGAUCCCCCAGCCCCACAUCUCAGCCCCACAUCUCCACCCCAUAGAUCCCCCAGCCCUACAUCUCCACCCCACAGAUCCCCCAGCCCCACCUCU